CCUGCUGACGAGCGGCGGACGGGUGAGUAACGCGUGGGAAUCUGCCUAUUGGUGGGGGAUAGCCCGGAGAAAUCCGGAUUAAUACCGCAUAAUACCUGAGGGUUAAAACAGGGGAUCUUCGGACCUUGUGCCAAUAGAUGAGCCCGCGUCAGAUUAGUUAGUUGGUGAGGUAAUGGCUCACCAAGACCGCGAUCUGUAGCUGGCCUGAGAGGGUGGCCAGUCACACUGGAACUGAGACACGGUCCAGACUCCUACGGGAGGCAGCAGUGGGGAAUAUUGGGCAAUGGGCGCAAGCCUGACCCAGCCAUGCCGCGUGUGUGAAGAAGGCUUUCGGGUUGUAAAGCACUUUAAGUUGGGAGGAAGGUGCGACGGUUAAUACCCGUUGUAAUUGACGUUACCAACAGAAUAAGCACCGGCUAAUUCCGUGCCAGCAGCCGCGGUAAUACGGAAGGUGCGAGCGUUAAUCGGAAUUACUGGGCGUAAAGCGCACGUAGGCGGUUUGCUAAGUCAGAUGUGAAAGCCCAGGGCUUAACCUUGGAACUGCAUCUGAUACUGGCAGGCUAGAGUACAGUAGAGGGAGGUGGAAUUUCAGGUGUAGCGGUGAAAUGCGUAGAGAUCUGAAGGAACACCAGUGGCGAAGGCGGCCUCCU
RNAcentral lists this ribosomal RNA (650 nucleotides) under uncultured marine bacterium. Its description in RNAcentral is "bacterial SSU rRNA". It matches the Rfam family "Bacterial small subunit ribosomal RNA", at positions 84 to 730 of the family's 1533-position model. The record is from RNAcentral.